AGGACUCGGUUUCCCGAGAGCCUUCCAAGCCUUUGCCGUACAGUUACCUUAUUUCCACGAUCACUCUGUGAGAAGGUUACUAUUUCCAAGGUGGGGACACUGAGUCAGGGCAGAGAGGACUGUUUUGGCAACACCUACAACACCCACUGGCUUCUUGGAACCUAUCCUAGAGAAAUACACAGAAGCAUGUGGGACGUACGCACAUGAUGUUUACCGCAACACCAGUGCUUUGUACGUCGAAACGGGUCGCAUCUGAGCGGUCGGAGUGCUUGAACUACCAGAAGGGAAGGAUGAUGAGACUUGCACGGUAUUCCUCAAAUCCGGGGGCGUCCAGCGCUUUGUGUGUUAGCUACACCCAACAACCCGGUGGAGUGGGGAAACUGAGGCCCCACCGACGAUCGAGCCCUUUGGAUUCCUACACAACGAUUUAUGUUCCUGCCUUUUGGGAUCUCAGCCUCUGAGGACAUUUACCACAUUGUACUGUAACUGUGUGUACAAACCCCAUGCUGGUCAGAUGUGGUCUGCACAAAACGGAGAAUCCAGCACUAAAAAAUGGGGCUUGCAUUUUAUAUG
This is a long non-coding RNA of Myotis lucifugus (little brown bat), 573 nucleotides long. RefSeq lists it as uncharacterized. The transcript has 3 exons. The record is from RefSeq and is a predicted model, not a curated record. Lineage: Eukaryota; Metazoa; Chordata; Mammalia; Chiroptera; Vespertilionidae.